RNAcentral lists this microRNA (22 nucleotides) under Solanum lycopersicum (tomato). RNAcentral's name for it is "sly-miR5302b-5p". The record is from miRBase by way of RNAcentral. Lineage: Eukaryota; Viridiplantae; Streptophyta; Magnoliopsida; Solanales; Solanaceae.
UGAAAUGCUAUAGUUGGAAAGU